AAAUUGAAGAGUUUGAUCAUGGCUCAGAUUGAACGCUGGCGGCAGGCCUAACACAUGCAAGUCGAACGGUAACAGGAAGCAGCUUGCUGUUUCGCUGACGAGUGGCGGACGGGUGAGUAAUGUCUGGGAAACUGCCUGAUGGAGGGGGAUAACUACUGGAAACGGUGGCUAAUACCGCAUAACGUCGCAAGACCAAAGAGGGGGACCUUCGGGCCUCUUGCCAUCAGAUGUGCCCAGAUGGGAUUAGCUUGUUGGUGAGGUAACGGCUCACCAAGGCGACGAUCCCUAGCUGGUCUGAGAGGAUGACCAGCCACACUGGAACUGAGACACGGUCCAGACUCCUACGGGAGGCAGCAGUGGGGAAUAUUGCACAAUGGGCGCAAGCCUGAUGCAGCCAUGCCGCGUGUAUGAAGAAGGCCUUCGGGUUGUAAAGUACUUUCAGCGGGGAGGAAGGUGUUGCGGUUAAUAACCGCAGCAAUUGACGUUACCCGCAGAAGAAGCACCGGCUAACUCCGUGCCAGCAGCCGCGGUAAUACGGAGGGUGCAAGCGUUAAUCGGAAUUACUGGGCGUAAAGCGCACGCAGGCGGUCUGUCAAGUCGGAUGUGAAAUCCCCGGGCUCAACCUGGGAACUGCAUUCGAAACUGGCAGGCUUGAGUCUUGUAGAGGGGGGUAGAAUUCCAGGUGUAGCGGUGAAAUGCGUAGAGAUCUGGAGGAAUACCGGUGGCGAAGGCGGCCCCCUGGACAAAGACUGACGCUCAGGUGCGAAAGCGUGGGGAGCAAACAGGAUUAGAUACCCUGGUAGUCCACGCCGUAAACGAUGUCUACUUGGAGGUUGUGCCCUUGAGGCGUGGCUUCCGGAGCUAACGCGUUAAGUAGACCGCCUGGGGAGUACGGCCGCAAGGUUAAAACUCAAAUGAAUUGACGGGGGCCCGCACAAGCGGUGGAGCAUGUGGUUUAAUUCGAUGCAACGCGAAGAACCUUACCUGGUCUUGACAUCCACGGAAGUUUUCAGAGAUGAGAAUGUGCCUUCGGGAACCGUGAGACAGGUGCUGCAUGGCUGUCGUCAGCUCGUGUUGUGAAAUGUUGGGUUAAGUCCCGCAACGAGCGCAACCCUUAUCCUUUGUUGCCAGCGAUUAGGUCGGGAACUCAAAGGAGACUGCCAGUGAUAAACUGGAGGAAGGUGGGGAUGACGUCAAGUCAUCAUGGCCCUUACGACCAGGGCUACACACGUGCUACAAUGGCGCAUACAAAGAGAAGCGACCUCGCGAGAGCAAGCGGACCUCAUAAAGUGCGUCGUAGUCCGGAUUGGAGUCUGCAACUCGACUCCAUGAAGUCGGAAUCGCUAGUAAUCGUGGAUCAGAAUGCCACGGUGAAUACGUUCCCGGGCCUUGUACACACCGCCCGUCACACCAUGGGAGUGGGUUGCAAAAGAAGUAGGUAGCUUAACCUUCGGGAGGGCGCUUACCACUUUGUGAUUCAUGACUGGGGUGAAGUCGUAACAAGGUAACCGUAGGGGAACCUGCGGUUGGAUCACCUCCUUACCUGAAAGAA
RNAcentral lists this ribosomal RNA (1552 nucleotides) under Salmonella enterica subsp. enterica serovar Newport str. USDA-ARS-USMARC-1927. RNAcentral's name for it is "bacterial SSU rRNA". It matches the Rfam family "Bacterial small subunit ribosomal RNA". Lineage: Bacteria; Pseudomonadati; Pseudomonadota; Gammaproteobacteria; Enterobacterales; Enterobacteriaceae. The record is from RNAcentral.